CACAGCUCCAGGAGCUGGCGAAGCUCAAAGCUCGGCCUGAGAGCAUCCCUGAAACCCUCCUGAGAGGUCCUGUCAGCCCCAGACCAGUCUCCAGUUCCCCCUCUUGCUUGCCGAGAUACAGAGAUCUUUGUCAAUGAUGGAGAUGUAGUAUAAAAGAGAAAUAAGCCUUUGUUGUUAAGCCCCUGAGACGGUGGGGCUCGUUUGUGACCACAGCAUACUCUGGCCUGUACUGACCAUCGCAACACGAAUAGAACUGUUGGUCCAUCAUAUAUUUCAGCUCGCACGUCUGCCUCCUACUGGACUGGAAGCUCCCUGAGGCAAGGUGCAUCAUUUGUCAAAACAUUAACUGUACCAGCGGAAAGAAGUAGAUAUCACUUUUGUGGUCCCCCUACCUCUUUUUAAAAGUGGAAAUCAACUGUUGGGCUCCAUCGAUUCCCCAUGAAGCCCUUGGCCUGGCUCCCAUCCCGGACCCAGGCAGAGUGCGGACGGACGGACAGAGAAGGCAUCCCUCCCACCCCACCUUCCGCCCUUGACCUCGGGUCUACGGACGGACGUUUCAGACGCACGAAGCUUGCGGAGCACGAACUGCCUAGUUAAGUCACGAUCCUCACAGAGAAAGCAAAGCAAAACAGCAGCGCCAACAGCAGAUCCCCAAAGCGGCGCGGGGCCAACGCAGAGGAGAGCGGCCAGGAGGGGGCGAGGCAGACCACUUUGAAGUGCGCCCAACAGGAGGCCCGUCGCGUCCAAGAGGAGCAGGCCGAUCGCCCGCGCGCCCUGGCCGGGUGCACCGGGGAGCCAGCGACCUUGGCCGCUCACCGCCCAGGGUAGACGUGAGGGCCGUCCGUCCUCUCCUCCGGCCUCGCGGAAAACCCGGGCAGUGGGAGGUGCCCGACC
Molecule: long non-coding RNA, 894 nt
Organism: Prionailurus viverrinus (fishing cat)
Lineage: Eukaryota; Metazoa; Chordata; Mammalia; Carnivora; Felidae
Exons: 4
Source: RefSeq, a predicted model, not a curated record